This 119-nucleotide ribosomal RNA is filed under the name Gossypium hirsutum (cotton). The record is from RNAcentral. Lineage: Eukaryota; Viridiplantae; Streptophyta; Magnoliopsida; Malvales; Malvaceae.
GGGUGCAAUCAUACCAGCACAAAUGCACCGGAUCUCAUUAGCACUCCGCAAUUUAGCGUGCUUGGGCGAGAGUAGUACUAGGAUGGGUGACCUUCUAGGAAGUCCUCGUGUUGCACCCC